UACGUAGGUGGCGAGCGUUGUCCGGAUUUACUGGGCGUAAAGGGAGCGUAGGCGGACUUUUAAGUGAGAUGUGAAAUACCCGGGCUCAACUUGGGUGCUGCAUUUCAAACUGGAAGUCUAGAGUGCAGGAGAGGAGAAUGGAAUUCCUAGUGUAGUGGUGAAAUGCGUAGAGAUUAGGAAGAACACCAGUGGCGAAGGCGAUUCUCUGGACUGUAACUGACACUGAGGCGCGAAAGCGUGGGGAGCAAACAGGAUUAGAUACCCG
Molecule: ribosomal RNA, 265 nt
Filed under: uncultured prokaryote
Description: partial 16S ribosomal RNA
Rfam family: Bacterial small subunit ribosomal RNA
Source: RNAcentral